UACAUUACAUUUUUAUAUCUUUUAUCUAGAGGUUUUCUGGAACCUCACAUUUCUGACUUUAAUGAUUAUUGACAAUAUUGUAUCCAAUAAAAUAAAAUUGGUUGAAUUGUUGAGUUGCAUUUUACUUGAUUCAAUGCUAGUUGCACCACUGAUUACUAUGGGAGACUAUAACAUACUUUUUAUAUAUUACUAUUGCUUAAAUCCUUUAUUAGAGCUAGUGUAUUCUGCACCACACUCAAUUCAGCAUGAACUAUUUUUUUAUAGUGCAUUUCAUAGUGUUAAUAAAAGAAGAGGGCUGUCCAUUGCAUAUUUGCUUCAUUGAUAUGAUAUUGUAUCAGCUACUGGAUAUACAUGUACAAGGAUUUGGUUGCAAAAUGAAGUUAGGGAAGUAAAAAAUCCAUGGAACUUCACACAUGCUUCUCUCACAACUAUAUUAUUAUUAUUUAUAUUAAUAUACAUGAUGUUAUGUUUGAUUUAAACUGAAUUGGC
Molecule: long non-coding RNA, 489 nt
Filed under: Androctonus crassicauda
Lineage: Eukaryota; Metazoa; Arthropoda; Arachnida; Scorpiones; Buthidae
Source: RNAcentral